GUGAAAGAGAACCUGAAACCCUGUGUUUACAAGCAGAGAAAGCACGUUAAAAGUGCGAUCUCGUACUUUUUGUAGAACGGACCGGCGAGUUACGUUGUGUAGCAAGGUUAAGGACUGAAGGUCUGAAGCCGCAGCGAGAGCGAGUCUGAAUAGGGCGACAUAAGUUGCAUGACGUAGACCCGAAACUGGGUGACCUACCCAUGAGCAAGGUGAAGUGGUGGUAAAACACCAUGGAGGCCUGAACGCACGUCCAUUGAAAAGGGCGGCGAUGACUUGUGGGUAGCGGAGAAAUUCCAAUCGAACUCAGAAAUAGCUGGUUCUCCUCGAAAUAGCUUUAGGGCUAGCCUCGAUUCAAAGAUUGGCGGAGGUAGAGCACUGAAUGAGCUAGGGGGCCACAAAGCUUACCGAACUCUAUCAAACUUCGAAUGCCGCACAAUCGUUCAUCGGGAGUCAGACGGCGGGAGAUAAGUUUCGUCGUCAAAAGGGAAACAGCCCAGAUCAACAGCUAAGGUCCCCAAGUACGUGUUAAGUGGGAAAGGAUGUGCAACCGCAUAGACAACCAGGAUGUUGGCUUAGAAGCAGCCACUCAUUAAAAGAGUGCGUAAUAGCUCACUGGUCGAGUAGUUGUGCGCCGAAGAUGUAACGGGGCUAAAACACGUCACCGAAGCUUUGGAAUUGCCGCAAGGCAAUUGGUAGAGGAGCAUUGUGUGCUGGGAGAAGCAGUACCGAGAGGAGCUGUGGACGGCACAGAAGAGAGAAUGCCGGUAUAAGUAGCGCGAGGCAUGCGAGAAACAUGCCCGUCGAUAGCCUAAGGUUUCCUGGGGAAGGCUCGUCCGCCCAGGGUAAGUCGGGACCUAAGCCGAGGACGGAAGUCGUAGGCGAUGGACAGCAGGCAGAGAUUCCUGCACUACCGAAGAUCGUUUGAGUGAAGCAGUGACACAGAAGGAUAGCCUGAGCAGGGUAAUGGUCAUCCCUGUACAAGCGGUGAGGCUGGUGAGUAGUGAAGUACGCUCACUAAGGCUGGGCCGUGAUGUGGAGUGAAAUUAGAAGUAGCGAAGCAGGUGAUUUCACACUGGCGAGAAAAGCUGCUGGCGAGAUCGGAGGUACCCGUACCGCAAACCGACACAGGUAGGCAAGGAGAGAAUCCUAAGACGAACGGGAGAACACUUGUUAAGGAACUCGGCAAAAUGACCCCGUAACUUCGGGAGAAGGGGUGCUGCAGAGAUGCAGCCGCAGAGAAGAGUCCCAAGCGACUGUUUAGCAAAAACACAGGUAUCUGCGAAAGCGAGAGCUGACGUAUAGGUGCUGACACCUGCCCGGUGCUGGAAGGUUAAGGGGAACUGUUAGAGCAAUCGAAGCAGAGAACCGAAGCCCCAGUAAACGGCGGCCGUAACUAUAACGGUCCUAAGGUAGCGAAAUUCCUUGUCGGGUAAGUUCCGACCCGCACGAAUGGUGUAACGAUCUGGGCACUGUCUCAACUACCCACCCGGCGAAAUUGUAGUACCGGUGAAGAUGCCGGUUACCUGCGGCAAGACGGAAAGACCCCAUGGAGCUUUACUGUAGCCUGAUAUUGGGUUUCGGAAAUCUAUGUACAGGAUAGGCGGGAGACUUGGAAACAUGAGCGUCAGCUUGUGUGGAGUCGAUGUUGGGAUACCGCCCUUAGGUUUCUGGAAUUCUAACCUGCGGCCGUGAAUCCGGUCGGGGGACAUUGUCAGGUGGGCAGUUUGACUGGGGCGGUCGCCUCCGAAAAGGUAACGGAGGCGCUCAAAGGUUAGCUCAGCACGGACGGAAACCGUGCCUCUGAGUGUAAACGCAAAAGCUAGCCUAACUGCGAGGGUGACGGCCCGAGCAGUAACGAAAGUUGGAGUUAGUGAUCCGGCGGUAUGUGAAUGGAAAUGC
Molecule: ribosomal RNA, 1899 nt
Filed under: human gut metagenome
Description: bacterial LSU rRNA
Rfam family: Bacterial large subunit ribosomal RNA
Source: RNAcentral